Non-coding RNA from Chrysemys picta bellii (western painted turtle), 5345 nucleotides. Lineage: Eukaryota; Metazoa; Chordata; Testudines; Emydidae. The record is from RefSeq and is a predicted model, not a curated record.
AUCCCUGCUGGCUCACUGCUCGCCUCUUUGCCCACCCGCCACUUGCCCACCCGCUCACGUCCCCCCCCCCCCAAGUAUAAAGCCUCAUUCAAAGACCCAGGGGUCACUAUAUUACAGGCCCUGCAGCCAUGUCCCUUCAUGCUCUGAACCUGAGAGGUCUCACAAAUUAAUGCCCAAUCCUGCAUAUAGUUACAGCUGGGAGUAGAGCUUACUGUCUUGAGUCCCACUGACUUCAGUGAGACAACUCCUGGCAGCAAGCAUGCCAUCUGGCAACAACAGUUUGCAGGAUCAGACUGUGGGUAAGGUCAAGCGAGGUCAGCACUUGAAUGGGAGACCUCCAAGGAAAAUCUUAGCCAUUGCAGGAAGUGUGCUGGUGAUUCGUGAACCAGUCCCUCCGUGGGGUGCUGGAGAGAAAGCACCUUCCCUCUGAAAAACCAACCCUUUUAAGGUGUCCCACGGUUGUGCACACAAAGUCAUUAGUCACUUUUGAAAACGCAGACCAGUUUACCCCUAGAGCUUCUAAACAAGAGCUAGCAGUUCUAGUCAGAGGCAAGGCAUAUCAAACAGUCAUUAUGGCAGAGGGGAUGUUGCUGUUUCCUCUUAUCUUAUUCUAAGUAAGAGAGCGAGGUAUUGAAAUGUAUCAUUUUUCUCUUUCUCAAUUCUCCCUGCUCCUCCAGAGUGUUCUGAUAGACGAAGCAUCUGCCAAAAAACUGAAGAGCGUUCUGUUUGAAGCCACGGUUGUAACCAGCAUCCCCUUCAUAAUCAUGGCAUUAGGAAUUAUUUUGGGGAUUUGUUUCAUUGUGCUCGUAUGCAGGCCCCCUGGAACAAGGGAAGAGAGUUCUGAAGAGGAAAGGGCUCCGCUCAUCAGGACAUCCUAAUCUUCUUUUUUUCCCCUUCCCAUGUGAGCUUGGUGAAUACACUAUGCAAGUUGAUCUAAUACCGAACACUACCCGGCAUUCAGCAUUCUAAAAACCCACCAUGCUAAUUAUAAUUAUUUGUAGUACAGGGAUGGAAAAUACUAAAAUGCUAGUGAAUGAGGAAACUGUUCUUCUCAGCUGCUAAGUAAGUUUUAAAACCAGAUAUUAAAAUGACUUGAGAUCCUGCUUUAUUAACUAGUGUUUAAUAUUCCCAGUGCUGUUGAAAGCCAUAAAAGCUCAGAACCACUAUAUCAGUGAGAGUAUAAUACCCUGAUUCAUGUAUUAGAAUUACGUGGGGUAAACUUUGUAAAUGGACCUUAGUAAUGUGGGCUCCUAAGUCCCUUUUGAAAAUGGAACUUAAGCAUCUUUGAAAAUAUUGCCCUAGGUCUAAUUUUGUCUUUUGUGUAGAGUACACUUGACUUCUUAUUAACAGAGUGUGAAUGGAUUGUUUUAGUAGUUACACAUCAUGCCUUUCACCUCCAAAAUUGUUUUGUGAAUCUAAGCCAAAAUGGUAAGUGAGGCCUAUUUAAUCAUACCUAGUUUUCAGUUAAGAAGCCAAGUACUUGAUAGCACAUUUUCGUACAGCACCUUGAUCUGUCCCAGUAUUGCUUGAAAUCCCAUUGUGUGGUAUUAAUAAAAUGCCCUGGAAAGUUUUUAAUUAAUUGUUUUUUACACUGGAAAACAAAGGGUUGGUUAGCUGAGGGUACAAUAGAGCGUUCUCCUUUUUUCCUGUGUCAGUGUCUCACCAAUAUCUAUUCUGUGGAGCACUGUACAGGCAGAUGUUGCAAGGGUAUUUGUAAUUGCAUUCAACAUUUAGGAAACCUACAGACCUUCUGUGUUGAGGUAUGUUUGGAACAUAAAGGAAAGCAGCAUAAAUGUUUUUUUAAAAAUACUGGUAGCUUAAAAUAUCAUAAGGGUACCUUUUUUCUCUCCGUGAGGAAGAGCAUUCUCACAAAUAUAUUUCCAUCAAAUAAAGUCAGUGAAAAAUUGAGACCUACUUUUCUGACUGGCUGAACACUCAUGCGUAGGAUAUGUAUCAGAGGGGUAGCCGUGUUAGUCUGGAUCUAUAAAAAGCAACAGAGAGUCCUGUGGCACCUUUAAGAUGCGUCCGACGAAGUGGGCAUUCACCCACGAAAGCUUAUGCUCCAAUACAUCUGUUAGUCUUAAAGGUGCCACAGGACUCUCUGUUGCUUUCCACAUGCGUAGGAUGUUAGCCUAUCAAUUGUUCAGCAAUCCAGACCAUUUUGGGCUGGCCCAGUCGGAAAAGCUCAUUAUUAUCACUAUUAUUAUUUAUUAUCUGUAUUACUGUAGCACCGAGGAGCCCAAGUCCUGGACCAGAGCCCAACUGUGCUGUGGUCUAUAGAUUUGUACCAAUCACAGAAGGCUAGAGAAACUGGCAUUGCACCAGGCUGACUUCUUCAGCCGACUGGCUCCUCUCCUAUGCAAGCCAAAACCAACCAAAUAAUAAUCAUCCAAAUUCAGGCAUCUGCCGCGCUGCCUGGCUGAGGAUCAGGGCUCCUGUACAUAAUGGAGCUCCCAACCCAUCGUGAUCUGCAAGUGUGUUCCCAAUGAGUGAGAGACUCAGGCUAGCCAACUACAGCCAUUCAUCUCAAGGGAUUUGCUCGGCAGUAAUGUCUCCAUUUAACCUCAUGAGAGGAAACUGUCCAGCCCUCAUCUGCCCGGUGAUUGGCCAGGAUGAAAAUAAUGCCAUGUGAAAACCCUUGUGGGUGAGGGGGUUUGGAACUCUGCCCUACCUUUACCCCAAAUGUUGUUCUGCGGGAGGGGAGAAUCUUCCUUUGCCACUUGUGUAGAUUCCAGUUGCAGAUACCCUCCUCCCCAUCACCCCAGUCUUUGAGUCCCAGGACCCCUUUCUUUCUUUCCUUGGCUGACCUCUGGAAUAAACCUGCCAGCUAAGGAGAACUCAAUAGCUUUGGCCCAGGGUCCCUUUUAAAUUCUUCCCUGUAUUCGGAAAGGGGCAGCUACAGACUUCCCAGUGCUGCUGGUAAAAGGCUACAUCCCCCUCAGAUGAAGGGCCAGCCUUCCUUAGCUGGGGAAACUGAGUCAGUAGCUGCAGAGCCUGUGUUCUGGGAGUGGGCCAUUUGCCUUUUGCAGUACGUUAUGCUAAAUCAGGAACUCUAGAUCACCUUUCUGUCUCAGUCUUUAUGUUGUACAGGUCAGAUCAUUGUAUGAUCCACAUUGAAAUAUAGCACCGUGUGGAAAAGCUAUCUGUGCACAACAGCGGUAACCUACAAAUCAUCUACAAAGCCUCGGGUAUUUUCUGAGGAAGUCAUUUUGAAAGCAUUAUUCCUGAUAAAACGACAAGGCCUCACAGGGUGAAAUUCAUCCUAGCGCAGAGGACCAGCAGAGGGACUACGCACUGCUGCAAAAUACCAGUCCUCAUGCCACUGUCCAGACCAAGUAGUCGUGGACUCGGCUGAGAUGUCAGGAACAGGUUUUGUCCCAAGGACUCAACUGUUGUGCAGGAUCCCCUGCCCUGGGGUGAAUUUAACCCCAACAUAUCCAUUUUAAAAUGUUACAUUCUGCUUAUUGGGUCAGAUCCUCAGCUGAUGUAAAUCCAUGGAGCGCUAUCAAAGUCAGUGAUGCUGUGCCAAUUUACAUCUCUUCAGGGUCUGGCUCAUUGUUCCUUUCCAUUUAUUGAUUAAUUUGCCGAACUCUUCAAAUGUCUGAAUGACUGUGUCUAGAGGUUUGUGUAUAUGCUACAGCAGGUUAAGCUGCUUCUUGGUUUUGUUACUUCAUUGCUCCAAUGUUUCCAUUCUCUACCUUGCUCUGAAGAAUUUCCCCCCCAAGGAACAUCUGUUUCUUAAAUCUCCACUAGACCGUAGGGAAGAGGUCUUAUCUGUCUAAAAUACAGGAAAGGUGGUUAUUUUAAUAAACGUUUCCAUUUUAUUUUUUGCAUGCUCCUGCUGUUACGUCCAUUCCUGUACAGCUGUCCUGUUUCGCUGCGCCUUCUAAUUUUCAGUGUGCCAUUGGAAAUCUGUUAAAUGUCGUGCAAAGUGACUGUCAUCAGGUUUUAAAACAUGUGCAUGUCCGUUAGAGGUGAGCACUGUGGGCAGAAUGCCAACAAAAUCACAUUCAGUUGUACUUUAUAGACACAGGCUUUUUUAGUCCAUGGAACAUCUAAUUCUUUCUGGAACUUCUCAGCAACUAACUCACAUGUAAAAAAUAUAGUACGUUCUGUAUUACAAGCGGGGUGUGCCAAAGCGCUCAGCAGUGGCCUGACGCUGCUCCCACUGAAGCCAGUGGGAGUUUGCCAGUGUUGUCAAUGGGAGCAGGCAUAGGCCAUCAACAAACACAUUUUAAAAUCCCAUGUGUUACAGAUACAAAUAGACGCAUAGAUAUUAAGCAGUUUGGAGAAGGGUGUGUGCAUUUCUAUGUAAGGCAAGAGCAAAAAUGACUGCAGAGUUAAAAGCUAAAACCCAUUGAAGCAGGAUGCAUGAUACAAUUUUAGAGAGUGUUUUAUUUCCUUUUAGUUUUGUGAAAACGGUACAUUGCAGUUUGAUGCCUCUUAAUGGAGCAUUCCACCCCCUCUCUCAAUCUAGCACAUACAAAAAGUCAAAUAUACCUGUGGGAGAGCCAUUUUAUUGGAUGCCAGACCUUCCAGCUGUGUUUUAUAAAGGGUCAGUAUAUUUGAUAUGCAGGGACAGUUAUCCUUGACAGGCCUUUGCACUGUUUCUUUGUAAACUGUCCCCUGGAUACCUUAAAAAUCCAGAAUCCCAUUUGUUCAUCUUUCUCAGCUGUUAAGGUGUAAAGAAACACUACAAAGAAUAUCAUUCUCUGGAUGCACACAUGCAACUCACAAUAGCAACUAAUUAACACUGAAAGGCAGCACAGUCUAGUGAUUAGAGCGCAAGGCUGGUUUUCAGGAGACCAGAGUUGUAAUCUGUAGGGUUAUUAACAUUUACCUAUAUCUCAUCCAGAGGUGGUGUGGGGAUGAAUUAAUAUUAGUAAAGUGCCAUGGGCUUGAUCCUUCAAAGGACAGCUUACUUCACUGUGAGUCAGACACUCAGUACCUUGCAGGAGUGCUAAGAUCACUGUAUGAUAGUUCCUUAUAUACCUAUUAUUAAUAACAAUUACUUGUGCCUGCAUCCAGGGAAGAUUAUCCAUCUAUAAUCCUUUUGUUCAGCUGUUCUGUAAAGCAUUGUUUGUUUCACACAGUGGAAGUGAUUCCAGGCAGUGUUAGAUACUUUUUUUAAUUAUUGAAGACUCACGGGAGAUAAUUGUCAACUGUUAUUUGUUGAUGGAUUUCGUAUUUGUUUUCCUGAGGCUGACUGUUGAAGAGGAGAUACUCAUAGCAAUGAUCAGUAUGUUUGCACACUUGAUUCACUUUCUGUGACUCUAGCAAUUUUUGUUUCCACUAUUAAUGCAGAUCAAGUGUUGCAUUAAUAAAAGUUAAUGUUUCUAUAAAAA